UGAGGAAUAUUGCGCAAUGGGCGAAAGCCUGACGCAGCGACGCCGCGUGGAGGAUGACGGUCUUCGGAUUGUAAACUUCUGUUAAGUGGGAAGAAAGGCGAAGCUCUAAUACAGCUUUGAUAUGACGGUACCACUAGAGAAAGCACCGGCUAACUUCGUGCCAGCAGCCGCGGUAAUACGAAGGGUGCAAGCGUUAUUCGGAUUUAUUGGGCGUAAAGGGUGCGCAGGCGGUAUGUUAAGUCAACUGUUAAAUCCCCCAGCCUAACUGGGGUUCGGCGGUAGAUACUGGCGUACUAGAGGGUGGAAGAGAGAAGUGGAAUUCUUGGAGUAGCGGUAAAAUGCGUAGAUCUCAAGAGGAACACCGAUGGCGAAGGCAGCUUCUUGGUCCACAUCUGACGCUCAUGCACGAAAGCGUGGGGAGCAAACAGGAUUAGAUACCCCGGUAGUCC
This 449-nucleotide ribosomal RNA is filed under the name uncultured bacterium. Its description in RNAcentral is "bacterial SSU rRNA". It matches the Rfam family "Bacterial small subunit ribosomal RNA", at positions 355 to 796 of the family's 1533-position model. The record is from RNAcentral.